GUUGGAGCUGCGCUGAUGGAAAUGAAUGUGAAGUGUACUCUAAAGUUGGCGUUAGAAGGUUUAGAUUUUUAUGGUGGCUGUGAUGAUGGGUAUUGAUGUUUUUAUAUUACGUGUUCCGUUCUAUUUAUUAAUGCAUUUAUUCCUGAAAUUAGUCUUCUGUCAUUUUCAGUUGAAUAAUGUGAGUUUUACGGCUAGGUGAAGAAGGGAGGUUGGAAUGUGGACCUCUUUUUUAAGCCUACAUUUCUUAGGAAAAAGGAAUUUGAUGUUUUCUUGGUCCAGUGAGAUCCAAGGCAUUAUUGGAGCUUUAUGCAAAAGACUAGUUGUGUUCUAUGGCAACGCUAUUUCUGUUUCUUGAAAACAAAAAAAAUAUGAUGAUAUAGAGUAUGGGAAACAAAAAGUGUUUGGAUUUAGGUCAUUUUUGUGUGUCACCAUGUUGUUGAACUGCCAG
Molecule: unclassified non-coding RNA, 448 nt
Filed under: Hevea brasiliensis (rubber tree)
Lineage: Eukaryota; Viridiplantae; Streptophyta; Magnoliopsida; Malpighiales; Euphorbiaceae
Source: RNAcentral